UGCUUGGGUAGCUCAGUUGGUAGAGCACUUGCCCGUGAAAGGCAAAGGUCCCGAGUUCGAGUCUCGGUCCGGCAC
RNAcentral lists this transfer RNA (75 nucleotides) under Schistocerca americana (American grasshopper). RNAcentral's name for it is "tRNA-Ser". It matches the Rfam family "tRNA". From Rfam's summary of the family: Transfer RNA (tRNA) molecules are approximately 80 nucleotides in length. Their secondary structure includes four short double-helical elements and three loops (D, anti-codon, and T loops). RNAcentral also lists the same sequence under 5 other names. The record is from RNAcentral. Lineage: Eukaryota; Metazoa; Arthropoda; Insecta; Orthoptera; Acrididae.